Molecule: ribosomal RNA, 203 nt
Filed under: uncultured bacterium
Lineage: Bacteria
Description: partial 16S ribosomal RNA
Rfam family: Bacterial small subunit ribosomal RNA
Source: RNAcentral
UACGAAGGGGCUAGCGUUGCUCGGAAUCACUGGGCGUAAAGCGCACGUAGGCGGGUUCUUAAGUCAGGGUGAAAUCCGUGGAGCUCAACCUCCAGAACUGCCUUUGAUACUGGGAAUCUCGAGUCCGGGAGAGGUGAGUGGAACUGCGAGUGUAGAGGUGAAAUCGUAGAUAGUUCGCAAGACACCAGUGGCGAAGGCGGCUC